RNAcentral lists this long non-coding RNA (665 nucleotides) under Pomacea canaliculata. RNAcentral describes it as "uncharacterized LOC112568836, transcript variant X2". Lineage: Eukaryota; Metazoa; Mollusca; Gastropoda; Architaenioglossa; Ampullariidae. The record is from RNAcentral.
UGCUGUAGAGGGAUAGGGCAGAUAAAGAUCAGCUGACGUUUGUUGUGUUUGACGUCACCAGUCGUCUGCUCAGCGCUGUUUCUAACGUACUUGUGUGGCUGUUGGCUGUCCGUUGCCUCUUCUAUCCUUGUGCGCAUGUUUCUUGUGGAGCAAAGCUUGGAGAUGAAAGUGUCCGAUGGUGUCGGCGCUGGCUAUUAUUUCAGCCCCAGCGAAAUGUUGUUGUCAACCUCGGAGUUCAGCGUGUCCUGGUCAGUCGUCUGUCAGCAGCAGGCUGUGGCGGACGUGCCAGGCGGUGCUGACCGUAGUACAUGGGUGCCACUGUUGGCACAAGGCAGGGAAAAAACAUCAUACACAGACCAGUCCGUCUCGCCAGAUGUCCUGUGAUAUGAAGGAGGACCUCUUGUGCUCAGUCUGUCCAGAAUCACUGACGUGGAUGUCCCCAUGUCCCGCUCCAUCCUCUGCUACCUCCACUCAAUGUUGAAUGUGAAAGGAGGUCCACUGUAUGUGAUCAGCCUCACCCUGAGAAUGUAAAGACGCUGUUUCCAAAAAUAAACCUUGUCGGUAAAAGGUUUCUGCAUUUCGUGAUUCACAUCAAGUUAGCAUCCAUCCUACUAAACAUCAUCCAAACAGCAAACGUUCAAAAUAAAAUUCCAAUCAAAUAUCAA